UAUAAAGUGGCGAACGGCUGAGUAACACGUGGGCAACCUGCCCUUUGCACUGGGAUAGCCUCGGGAAACCGAGGUUAAUACCGGAUACUCCAUAUUUGUCGCAUGGCGAAUAUGGGAAAGCUCCGGCGGCAAAGGAUGGGCCCGCGGCCUGUUAGCUAGUUGGUGGGGUAGUGGCCUACCAAGGCAAUGAUGGGUAGCCGGGUUGAGAGACCGACCGGCCAGAUUGGGACUGAGACACGGCCCAGACUCCUACGGGAGGCAGCAGCG
Molecule: ribosomal RNA, 267 nt
Filed under: uncultured Atopobium sp.
Lineage: Bacteria; Bacillati; Actinomycetota; Coriobacteriia; Coriobacteriales; Atopobiaceae
Description: partial 16S ribosomal RNA
Rfam family: Bacterial small subunit ribosomal RNA
Source: RNAcentral